Molecule: RNA transcript, 5148 nt
Organism: Corythoichthys intestinalis (scribbled pipefish)
Lineage: Eukaryota; Metazoa; Chordata; Actinopteri; Syngnathiformes; Syngnathidae
Gene name: protein Aster-A-like
Exons: 18
Source: RefSeq, a predicted model, not a curated record
CAAUAAACCCCCAUCCAUUUAAUUCUGUCCUUAUUGCUUUUUGCAUAAGUGUAUUUUAUCUAUGUUUUAAAUAUAAAAAUGGACGAAGCUAACGGCCUUUAGUUCGUAUUCCGUCUUUUGGCGGAUAGGGAGACCGGGGACGGUGGGCUUGCCAAAGAAAGAAGUCGACGCGGCGGCUUAGGAGAAGAAAAAGUUGGCCCAAACUUUCGCUCCGUGUUGCUUAGCGAAAGUUUAGCACCGGCGGAUGCGCUCGUCCUCGGCGGGGCGAGCGUCCGCACCAACAUGUUGAUGUGCUCCGUGGAGAAAGUGGAUUUUAACAUCACUUCGCGUACUGUCGCUCGCCUCGUCUUUGAGGCCGAGAACGACCAACGGAAUGGGGGCAACUCGUCCAACGGCAGGUGUUUUACCGCUGAGCUCGCAAAGAUGAGCCACGUAAAGCAAAUAGGACUGCAGAGGAACCAUGAAGAAACGAGGUGUGGAAAGACUGGCGUCCUGAAUAUGCCUCGCUCUCAGAGGAAUUGAUAUUUCUCCGGAAUGAGUCAUUUCUUGUGGGUCGUAUAGCUGACAUUCUCAGAGAUGACCAUGUCCUCCUCUCGCCCCGUCCCGACCCUGACCAUUCUGCCCCCAUCCUCCGAUACCGAGUCCUGGUCCCGCUCACCCAGCCCCCGGCCCACUCGUUCCGGCCGCCACCCGCGUAUCUACCGUGGCCGAAGCCGAACCAAAAAGCGGAGUUCCGACAAGCGAUCUGUAACCCCGCAGAUUGUAAUUGAGGAGGAAAUUACCCCUGCACUCUCCCCACUUGUGGCCCCUGAUUCCAGGAGGGAGGAUCCGGGUCAGGACCUCCUUCUGCCACCUUCCCAAUCUUGGUCACGUAGUCCUUCUCCCAGCCGGCGCUCCCGGUGGUCCCUUAGGAGCCUGCUGGGAAGGGAUUCUGACUGGGAAAGCUGCAGCACCGCCAGUAACUCUCCACGCAGCACUCCGGGCAGCUCACCCUCCCUGCGGCGACGGGUCCUGGGGGGCGGCCGGACGAGCGAGAACGAGGGAGUGGGGGACAAAAGCAGCGGAGGGGGAGGAGGUGGUUCGGACAGCCCCCUGCCGUCAAUACCGUCGGCGUCCUCACUCUCGUCAGCCUAUCCGAUCGCUUCCCGACAUUUCAGGAGCAAUGCAAAGAAAAUGCAAAGCUGGUAUAAUGUCCUCAGCCCCACGUACAAGCAACGAAACGAGGACUUCCGUAAGAUCUUCAAGAAGCUUCCAGACACGGAACGACUCAUCGUGGACUACUCGUGCGCUCUGCAGAAGGACAUCCUGCUCCAAGGCCGCCUUUAUCUGUCUGAGAACUGGCUUUGUUUCUACAGCAACAUAUUCCGCUGGGAAACCACUAUUACUAUCCUGCUGAAAGACGUAACCUCAAUGACCAAGGAGAAGACUGCCAAGCUCAUUCCAAACGCCAUCCAGAUCAGCACCGACAAUGAGAAGCACUUCUUCACUUCUUUCGGGGCACGGGAUCGCAGCUUCAUGAUGAUUUUCCGCUUGUGGCAGAACGCGCUGAUGGACAAAUCCUUGUCCCCCAAAGAAUUGUGGCACAUCGUGCACCAGUGUUACGGCACCGAGCUAGGCCUCACAAGCGAAGACGACGACUACGUCUCGCCAACCGCCGAACACAUGAACGGCCUGCUGCCUGGGGAAGAGUCUGUGUCCGUCAGCGAUCUUCUGGACCUCAGUUCGGUGUCACUUCCCUCCUCGGGCAGCUCCCCUCCGCCACUGGUGCCCUGCAGUCAGGCUAGCCCACCCUCAACGACCACCGGUGCGGUAGGCUUGUCCCCGCCAUCCACGACCUGCUGCCUGCCCAUCGAGGUGCCCUCCUCGUCGGGUCGCCGUCUUAGCUCGGAUCCCUCGGAACCCAGCCCGCCCAACUCUCACGGCUCGGCGGCAUCUGCCGCGCCCACCAACGUCUCCUCUAACCCAGAGGAGGGCGGGGACAGUCUGUCCGAGUCGGCCAAUCACUUGGCGCCCCUGCCUAACACCAGCCUGGGAAAUCUCUCCUCAUUGGACAUCACCAACGACGAGGACCUGCCGACCGACCCGAGCAACUCGUCCGACACACAGGAGGAGAGUGAGGUGGAGUCGUUCUGCGCCGACCUGAACGGGCGGCUGCAUGUCAACGCUGCCGUGAGAAUGAGCGUGGACAAGCUUCACGACCUGCUCUUCUCUGCUGACACACACUUUAUUCAGCACCUCUUCUCGCAGCGGCACUUUACUGACCUCACAGUGGGUGAGUGGCAGCGAGACGGCAGCAGCGGGACUACCAGCCGUGUGCUCAGCUACACCAUCGCACUCAACAACCCUCUCGGACCUAAGACCGCCCCCGUGGUGGAGACACAGACACUGCACAAGAACAGCGCUCAGGGUGAAUGCUAUGUGGUGGACUCGGAGGUGAUCACGUCGGGCAUUCCAUACCAAGACUACUUCUACACCGUGCAUAGAUACUGCCUCACUGCCAUCAACAAGAACAAGAGCCGCCUCAGAGUUUCCUCCGACAUUUGCUAUAGGAAGCAACCAUGGAGUUUGGUCAAAACUCUGAUUGAGAAGAACACAUGGAGCGGUAUCGAGGAGUACUACCGCCACAUGGAAAGCGAGGUGUGCAAAUUAGAAACGCUGCUUCAGUCCGAGGUGACCGUGGUGUCGGCAGGAGACGGCACCAGCGCUGCCGAGGCCGCUAAGACACCGACGGCCUUGCGACGACGCAAGCGCACCUGCUCACGCCGCCAAGGGGACCGCGAGCGGGACGGAGGGGCCGCCAACGAGCGCGGAGAUAGGAGUAUCGGGGAGGAGCGAGAGCGCAGGGACGCCGGUGCUCAGUACAUGAAGCUGGGAGAGCGUGCACGUGGUGCAGCGCAGAACAGCGUCUCUACUAUCCUACUCAUCGUCAGUUUCAUGUAAGUAUCAGAAAGGAUUGAGUACGCUAAUUUUUGGAGUUAUGAAUUAAUUUUCCACACUAAAUAGAGGCCUUAAGAGAUCAAAGCCAUCUAAGAACACUCCCAGGAAAAAAGUUCAACUGUGUAAACUUGUGCCAAAAUCAGUCCAGCCGUUUCGGAGUCUAUAGGGAACAAACACACGCAGACACUACACACACAGACAGUUCCAUUUAUAUACAGGUAGUCCCCGGGUUACAACGUACCCGACUUACGUGAUUUCGACUUUUUAUAAAUGUUGACUUUUUUGGUAUUGUGAUGCAUGCUUUUAUUUUGGCGCAGGGAGGGUAGAGCAGGUAGUACUUCCGCACACGAGUAAAGGAACAUCUACACGCGAAGAACGUAAUCGCGUACACAAAGAAGAGUGCACGUACACACGAAGAACUUAAUUGCGUACACAAAGAAGAGUGCACGUACACACAAAGAACGUAAUUGCGCACACACAAGGAAGAGUGUACACACAAGGAAGAGCCAUUUGCUCCCACGAAGAAGGGGAGAGAGCUGCAAGCCUGCGCGCCCAUUUAUUGCUUGUGAAGCAACCACAGAAGCAACACCUUUUGUACUGUUUAUUGUGUUUUCAAUUGUGGUCUAAUACUUGGAGAGAGUUCAUGUGAUUGUUUUUGAUGAUGUGUGGAUGCUAACUGAUAAAUGCUAAAUGUUUGUGUGGAAUGUUAUCGCUGUAUCAGCAGCUAGUUAUGAAUGCCAAUUUGAGUUGCUGUUAUUGAAGAUGAAACUGAUUUAAUUCAGUUUUUAUUUUAGUUUCAUUCUGUAAUAGCUGAUGUCAUGUCAGCAAACCACACGGACGUCUGACAUCGUCAUUUCGGAGUUUAGCUCGCUGGCUAGCAAGGAUUUAGCUCCAACGUCUUGGCGAGGACAGUAAAAUGACGUAUGUUUCUGGAUGGUUAUUUUGAGAUAUAAGGGUUAUUUAGGAGUGCUUAAAGGGUUAAUUCUGUCUCGCGUGGAAAUUCUGGUUACGUCACCAGCGUAGGAACGGAAUUCAUUCGUAAUCCGGGGAGUACCUGUAAAAGUAUAGAUUAGGGAUGUCUCGAUCCGUUCAUGUGAUCACGCCAUUUUUCCAGAGCAUCAGAAUCGGGUGAAAGGGAUCGUUUUUAAUUCAAGAAAUAUAUUUGUUUUUCUGCUUCAUGCUUGCCACUGCCUGUCACCCUCCCUCCUGCUAAGCAGUGCGGCCAAACUGUCCAGUUUCCGUUUGGUACUUAAAGUAAUGAUGAUUGACAGGUUUAUAGCUUUGAUCUUGCUAUAGAAGCUUAGUAGCUCUACGAUCAAAGGCACUAAUGUGUCAAUCAUCGUUAAACUUGCAUACGUGUGCUGUGGCAACUCAUUGUGUAAGUGAGAGACUGUUCUCAGCAGCGUGAGUGGGUUUGAGUGGACUCGCUCAAUGAAGCAUUUAAUAAAGGCAAACAUUUUUCUACUUUAUUAUUGCUUUAAAAAUAAUUAAAAUAUGAAGGCGGCACGGUGGGGGACAGUAACAUGUUUAGAACUUUUUAUCCAGGAUGGGGACUUAGUAUUGUCAGAUUCUCAAAAUAAUGGUGACUCUGACUUGGGUGCAAAAAUGUGCGAUCGGGACAUCCCUAGUAUAGAUAAAAUUCAAGUAACUCAUUCACUGUUAUUACUGUUAAUGACUGCCCAACCCAUUUUAAAUGGGAGACCAUUCACAGCCCUCCCAGCUUAAACGGAUUAACGUCUAUUGUCGUCAUUUGCAGCCAAUAAGCGGAAAUGUAAUAACUCUAGAUUAGUACAUAUUGUCGUAUAUCAUUUUUUACUCCUUCUACUUUAAAUUGAAGAGACGCAAUUCAUCAGAAAAUAUACAAAUGAAUAUCACAACUAGCAUUUUUAGCUCUUGUGCGUACUAACAGCCUCAUGAGUUUCUCCCUUUGUCUCUCCUCGGGCUCCACUUUGUGUGUAGGAUCUGUAUCAGGUACGGAAUAAAGGAUUUUUACUUCCUCAAGCCACGCUUUGUUACAGGAAACGUCUUACUGAAAUAAUUGGACUCAUUGUGCAAUUAAACCCAAACGUACUCAAUUUUCCUGUAAGGAAGUUCCACUGUGAUUCUGGUGGUGCUGGUGGCGCUCAACAUGCUGCUAUUCUACAAACUGUAUUCUCUGGAGCGGGCCGCACACACACUGGAGACGUGGCACUCGUUUUCAGUGGCAGACAG